AAGUCGUAACAAGGUUUUCGUAGGUGAACCUGCGGAAGGAUCAUUAAUGAAUCUCGGGAGUCCCUCCUAACCGGAGAAGGCCCGCAUCAUUAUUUCACACACUUGUGCAUUUGUCCCCUUUUCAAUACCUUUAACCCUGUAUGCAUUUGAAACAGUCAUUGGUUAACAAACAUGAUAAAUGAAAGAAAAACUUUCAGCAAUGGAUCUCUUGGCUCUCGCAUCGAUGAAGAACGCAGCAAAGCGCGAAAUGUAAUGUGAAUUGCAGAAUUCAGUGAAUCAUCGAAUCUUUGAGCGCACCUUGCGCUCUCGGGUUAUUCCUGGGAGCAUGUUCGUUGGAGUGUCGCGUACCUCUCAACCCCGUCCCUUGCAAAAGGGAUCGUCUCAGGGUUUGGAUCGUGGCGCCUUUGCCCGGAAGCGCUCUGCUUUCUUGGGCUGCGCUGAAUUGCAACAAGCUGUACCUUUGUACUGGCGGUUUGACCCGUUGUCAUAAGCUCACACUUUCAAUGGGGACGUCGGUCGGGAUGGGCUUACCACAAAUCAAUCUAUACACUUUGACCUCCAAUCGAGCAGGACUACCCCCUGAACUUAAGCAUAUCAAUAAGGGGAGGAAAAGAAACUAACAAGGAUUCCCCUAGUAACGGCGAGUGAAGCGGGAACAGCUCAACUUUGAAAUCUGGCCCUUUCAGGGUCCGAGUUGUAGUCUCGAGAAGCAACAUCCGCGUCGGACCUUGGGUAUGUCGGUUGGAAUACCGCGUCAAUGAGGGUGACAAUCCCGUUUGUACCAAGGACGACCGUGCGCAUUGUGGUGUGCUUUCCAAGAGUCGAGUUGUUUGGGAAUGCAGCUCUAAUCGGGUGGUAAAUUCCAUCUAAAGCUAAAUAUUGGCGAGAGACCGAUAGCGAACAAGUACCGUGAGGGAAAGAUGAAAAGCACUUUGGAAAGAGAAUGAAACAGUAUGUGAAAUUGCUGGAAGGGAAACGAUUGAGGUUAGACUUGCUGGGGCGGCACUCAGCCCUCACGGGUGUAUUUGCCGUCCGUUGGCAGGCCAGCAUCGGUUUGAAGUCGGGUAAAAGGGUGCAGGGAACGUGGCUCGCCUUCGGGUGAGUGUUAUAGCCCGGCACUGGAUGCCCGACCGCAGACCGAGGAACGCAGGGCGCCGCAAGGCAGUGGUCUCGUGCCACCGAGCCCUUAGGAUGCUGGUAGAAUAGCCUUAACCGACC
This 1218-nucleotide ribosomal RNA is filed under the name uncultured fungus. RNAcentral describes it as "eukaryotic LSU rRNA". The stretch from base 553 to 1218 matches the Rfam family "Eukaryotic large subunit ribosomal RNA", at positions 1 to 649 of the family's 3401-position model. Lineage: Eukaryota; Fungi. The record is from RNAcentral.